RNAcentral lists this long non-coding RNA (202 nucleotides) under Lathyrus oleraceus (garden pea). RNAcentral's name for it is "Pisum sativum (pea) long non-coding RNA (PSAT_LNC014866)". Lineage: Eukaryota; Viridiplantae; Streptophyta; Magnoliopsida; Fabales; Fabaceae. The record is from RNAcentral.
UAAAAGCAAGUAGCAUUUAAUCAACAAAGAAAUUACAAAUGCAAAUGAAAACAAAUCAGUCCAAUGAUUGCCAAUGUUAAGGAUGUCUUCCUGUUUGAACCACUGGCCUUAUGAGGUACUCCCUUGAAGUCUUCGAACUUAUUCAGACGAGAGGUUGACGUGCACCAACAGAUUUCCGUCUGGAAAGCAUAUGUACUUUUUG